This 301-nucleotide ribosomal RNA is filed under the name uncultured bacterium. RNAcentral describes it as "partial 16S ribosomal RNA". It matches the Rfam family "Bacterial small subunit ribosomal RNA", at positions 509 to 807 of the family's 1533-position model. The record is from RNAcentral.
CAGCAGCCGCGGUAAUACGUAGGUGGCAAGCGUUGUCCGGAAUUAUUGGGCGUAAAGCGCGCGCAGGUGGCUUAAUAAGUCUGAUGUGAAAGCCCACGGCUCAACCGUGGAGGGUCAUUGGAAACUGUUAAACUUGAGUGCAGGAGAGAAAAGUGGAAUUCCUAGUGUAGCGGUGGAAUGCGUAGAGAUUAGGAGGAACACCAGUGGCGAAGGCGGCUUUUUGGCCUGUAACUGACACUGAGGCGCGAAAGCGUGGGGAGCAAACAGGAUUAGAUACCCCAGUAGUCCCUGUCUCUUAUAC